This 860-nucleotide long non-coding RNA is filed under the name Phascolarctos cinereus (koala). RNAcentral's name for it is "lncRNA (ENSPCIG00000032573.1)". Lineage: Eukaryota; Metazoa; Chordata; Mammalia; Diprotodontia; Phascolarctidae. The record is from RNAcentral.
AAAAGAUCAUAAUAACUGCAGUACUUUGUGAUCCUCCAUAGGCUUCAAGACACUGCCCAAGGGGUCCAUGACAAAAAUGGUUAUGAAUACCUGACUAAGUUCAAAUCUCAGCUGUGAGCCUUCUAGUAGCAUGGACCUGAGCAACUGUCUUCAACGUCCUAGGCCUGUUUUCCUCCACCUGUAGCAAGGGUAGAAUGGGAAAGCUAGUGUGGCUCCAGACUGCUCUGGGGUCAGGGAGACCUGGGUUCAACUCCUGCCUCCAAACACACAUUGGCUGGGAGACCUUGGCUAAGUCCCUUAAACCUGUUCCAGCUCGCUGGGACACAAUUCUACAAGGCGCAGAUCUGCAUUGGUGGAGGGGUUUUCCUCAAGAGGAAGCAAACAACCCUCAAGGAGACAGCCGACCCUCCCCCUUCCCCUGCCGACCGAGAUGAUUACUGUUAGUUACCCUUCACGGGCGGAGGCUCAGGAGUUUUCCGCAGCUGCCGGGAUGCAGGGCGGAGCAUCCGCUUCUCCUCCCCGCAGCCCGCGCUGUCCCAUCCUCGGAGCUGGGAAAGAGAAGCGGCGGGGGCGGCCCGCCCGCGGAGGGGGGGCUGCACGGGCGAGCCACACGCGGAGGGGAGGGGGCACGAGGUACUUUGUACCCCCUCCCCAACUUGAGCUUCAAAAUGGCGGUGAUGGAGAUGAGAUCACGUGAUCAUCGGACCGAGUCAGAUGAAGAAGCUGAGGCCCAAAAAGAAGUGACUUGGACAAGUUCACAGUUAAUGAUGUCAUUCACUCUGUGCUGACUGAAUUGUACUGACUGUACUGACUGAAUUGGGAAAAAAAUAAAAACUCUUGGAGCUAGUAACCUAGUGGCA